UACGUAGGGUGCAAGCGUUAAUCGGAAUUACUGGGCGUAAAGCGUGCGCAGGCGGUUCGCUAAGACCGACGUGAAAUCCCCGGGCUUAACCUGGGAACUGCAUUGGUGACUGGCGGGCUAGAGUAUGGCAGAGGGGGGUAGAAUUCCACGUGUAGCAGUGAAAUGCGUAGAGAUGUGGAGGAAUACCGAUGGCGAAGGCAGCCCCCUGGGCCAAUACUGACGCUCAUGCACGAAAGCGUGGGGAGCAAACAGG
RNAcentral lists this ribosomal RNA (253 nucleotides) under uncultured bacterium. RNAcentral's name for it is "partial 16S ribosomal RNA". It matches the Rfam family "Bacterial small subunit ribosomal RNA", at positions 524 to 776 of the family's 1533-position model. The record is from RNAcentral.